UAGUCUCUGACUGGUUGUGUCUUGGUGACCUGAUAGUCGCCUUAGUUGCCAGGGUGAGGGCCUGGUCUUCCUGCUUUUGCCUCCUAUCAUGGCGUUAUUUGCUCUUCCUACAUUCCGUUUGGUCUUCCUACACUACUUCCAUGAAAUUAUGAGAAAAGUAAGCAGUCAGAAACAGUUCUUCCUUGUGAUACAUCAGCAUUGAUCAAGAAACUGAGUGAAGAAUUGGAAGAAAGGGGUCAUUAUCACAGCUGUGUGUCCUGACUGCAAACUGGUACUACUGUACAGGAUGAAAAUGAAUGAUUUAGGAGAUGUCAUGUCCUGGUUAACAUUACUUGGAUACUUGACAAUAUAUGACUCUUCUACUCACAAGAAGGAACUUCUCUAAUAUAAAAGAAACUUCAAUUGUAAAUUUAAUGGGGGGAUGGUGGAAAAUAUCCAAGUGUGCCAAGAGACUCCUUCAUCUUCUUCCACAAGAGAAAAUAAAGCCAUAAUAUCUCCUUAAGUUAGAGGACAGCAAUGCCCAGCAGGAUUUACAAGACACAUUCACA
This is a non-coding RNA of Odocoileus virginianus texanus, 548 nucleotides long. NCBI's taxonomy places the organism in Eukaryota, Metazoa, Chordata, Mammalia, Artiodactyla, Cervidae. The record is from RefSeq and is a predicted model, not a curated record.